RNAcentral lists this ribosomal RNA (477 nucleotides) under uncultured bacterium. RNAcentral's name for it is "partial 16S ribosomal RNA". It matches the Rfam family "Bacterial small subunit ribosomal RNA", at positions 28 to 507 of the family's 1533-position model. The record is from RNAcentral.
GAUUAACGCUGGCGGCGUGCAUAACACAUGCAAGUCGAACGAUGAAACUUAGUCGACUUCUUCGGAAAGACACUAAGCGGCUUAGUGGCGAACGGGUGAGUAACGCGUGAGUAACCUGCCUUACACAAGGGGAUAGCCUUUGGAAACGAAGAAUAAUACCCUAUAAAACCAUAAAAGCACAUGCUAGAAUGGUCAAAGUGAUAGCGGUGUAAGAUGGACUUGCGUCUGAUUAGCUAGUUGGUGAGAUAAAAGCUCACCAAGGCAACGAUCAGUAGCCGGCUUGAGAGAGUGUACGGCCACAUUGGGACUGAGACACGGCCCAGACUCCUACGGGAGGCAGCAGUGGGGAAUUUUGCACAAUGGGGGAAACCCUGAUGCAGCGACGCCGCGUGAUUCAGAAGGCCUUCGGGUUGUAAAAAUCUUUUGUAUAGGAAGAAAAUGACAGUACUAUACGAAUAAGGUCCGGCUAAUUACGUG